RNAcentral lists this ribosomal RNA (394 nucleotides) under uncultured bacterium. Its description in RNAcentral is "bacterial SSU rRNA". It matches the Rfam family "Bacterial small subunit ribosomal RNA", at positions 505 to 898 of the family's 1533-position model. The record is from RNAcentral.
GUGUCAGCAGCCGCGGUAAAACGUAGGAGGCGAGCGUUAUCCGGAUUUACUGGGCGUAAAGCGCACGCAGGUGGCACAGCAAGUUGGAUGUGAAAGCUCCUGGCUUAACUGGGAGAGGCCAUUCGAGACUGCUGAGCUUGAGGUUGGGAGAGGGGUGUGGAAUUCCCGGUGUAGUGGUGGAAUGCGUAGAUAUCGGGAGGAACACCUGUGGCGAAAGCGGCACCCUGGCCCACACCUGACGCUGAGGUGCGAAAGCGUGGGGAGUAAACAGGAUUAGAUACCCUGGUAAUCCACGCCGUAAACGAUGUCAACUGGGUGUCGGUAGUGUUACACUAUCGGUGCCGAAGCAAACGCGUUAAGUUGACCGCCUGGGGACUACGGCCGCAAGGCUAAA